Molecule: long non-coding RNA, 1482 nt
Filed under: Gallus gallus (chicken)
Lineage: Eukaryota; Metazoa; Chordata; Aves; Galliformes; Phasianidae
Description: long non-coding RNA NONGGAT005081
Source: RNAcentral
GGCAGCGGUCCCCUGUUCCCCAGACAGGAGCUGAGGAAUGGCCGUGCUAUCAGCCGGCUUUUGCACUGACUCCAACCACCCCCAAAAAUGGCCAUAGAAUCAACUUCUGGAGAUUGGCAUCUAUUCAUCAGCGCAGCUGUAGUACCCUGGAGGCCCAGGGCACUUGUGCAAGUAGCAAUUCAGAGGAACUCUGGGGGGAGAAAAAACCCUAUUGGGCUUUUUUCUUGUUUCCAAAUGACUCGGGGUCAGAAGCAAAGAGGUCUGACCCUCUUCUUUGUUGGCUCCAGCACGGCCAGACUAAACUGGGGGGGGGCUGUAAAAGCCACGUCAUGCUUCAUGAUGCUUUCCUCCUAACAGAGCUUCUAAUGGCCACUGUAAACAAAUCAGUACGUCCAGCUUUGCAUCCCAAAUAAAGGAGGCACAGUGAACUGUGAGGGUUUUGGAUGUUCAGACGAAUUAUUCCUGCCGUUGCAAUAGCGAUGUGUGGAGCAUUUGAUUAUCCCCUGCCAUCAGUGGUGCAGGCGAGGACAGAAAUAUUCAUGUUCUGCAUUUAACUGGAAAUUAAGAGAAUGCAUCAUCUGGUGACAGGAACUUCUACAAGUGACUGCUUCCCACUCAAUCAACUCCCAAACCACCACAUCACUGGGGGGAUAUUGGGAAACUUGAUUUAUGACUCAGACCUGCUGGUGGAUGUUUGCUGGAGGAAUGUAUUCCCCAAAGUUGCCCCGUUGAUGGAGGUGUGCAGGGAUUCUUCCCCUCUUGGAGGAGCACUGGGGGUUCUUACAAGGUCUGUUAAAAUAGCUGGGAAGAGUGACUCAGAAGGGAAGGCUGUCUGCUGAACUGCUGGCACUUCUCCACCUGUCUGCCUGCACUGUGCCAGGGCUGCGGGAAGCUUUGGGGUGAUGCUGAACUCAGGGGAUGUCUCUGAGCUGCAGGCGAGCGCUGGAGAAGAGGGGAAAGUAGAGAUGAGCAGGAAGGGGAGCACUCCUAUGUGACUGCUGCAGCUGCCGUGAUGGAUUUAAAACCUCAUUGGUUGCGUCCUGCUGAGCUGCUCAGCAAGUUCCAGGGUGAGAUGUGCUGUCUGCUCCGGACCCACAACACAGGUCAAUUUGUCCAUCCUGCUGGGAAAGUCCGACUCACGUUUUUCCAUACACGUCGGUGCUGUGCUCCGGCCAUGCCACCAGACACACCAGCCGGCCUGGCAGCUCCUCCGUCACCGAGUAGUAGCCCUGUGGGAAGGCCAGCAGGAAGGCCAGGAGCCAGAUGACACAUAUGACCACUUUGGUAGCAGUGGCUGAGAGCCGCGGCUGCAGCGGGUGGAUGAUGGCCAUGUACCUGCAAGAACUCAGUGGGACUGAAGAUGGCUCCAUUUGCCAGCAGCUUUGUAUAUCUACUGCAGUGAAGGACACAACUUUAGGCCAGACGCUUUCCCUUCGGUGACGUAGGUAAUGCCAUUUGCUGUUGUUUUAAAUAUUUUAUUGU